This 73-nucleotide transfer RNA is filed under the name Salmo salar (Atlantic salmon). It matches the Rfam family "tRNA". Rfam says of the family: Transfer RNA (tRNA) molecules are approximately 80 nucleotides in length. Their secondary structure includes four short double-helical elements and three loops (D, anti-codon, and T loops). Further hydrogen bonds mediate the characteristic L-shaped molecular structure. tRNAs have two regions of fundamental functional importance: the anti-codon, which is responsible for specific mRNA codon recognition, and the 3' end, to which the tRNAs corresponding amino acid is attached (by aminoacyl-tRNA synthetases). tRNAs cope with the degeneracy of the genetic code in two manners: having more than one tRNA (with a specific anti-codon) for a particular amino acid; and 'wobble' base-pairing, i.e. permitting non-standard base-pairing at the 3rd anti-codon position. The record is from Rfam by way of RNAcentral. Lineage: Eukaryota; Metazoa; Chordata; Actinopteri; Salmoniformes; Salmonidae.
UCCUGUGUGGCUCAGUUGGUAGAGCAUGGUGUUUGCAACGCCAGGGUUGUGGGUUUGUUUCCCAGUAUGGGAA